Molecule: ribosomal RNA, 660 nt
Filed under: Dolichospermum spiroides RPAN20
Lineage: Bacteria; Bacillati; Cyanobacteriota; Cyanophyceae; Nostocales; Aphanizomenonaceae
Also listed under: 4 other names
Description: bacterial SSU rRNA
Rfam family: Bacterial small subunit ribosomal RNA
Source: RNAcentral
ACGGGUGAGUAACGCGUGAGAAUCUAGCUUCAAGUCGGGGACAACCACUGGAAACGGUGGCUAAUACCGGAUGUGCCGAAAGGUGAAUUAUUUAUUGCCUGAAGAUGAGCUCGCGUCUGAUUAGCUAGUUGGUGUGGUAAGAGCGCACCAAGGCGACGAUCAGUAGCUGGUCCCAGAGGAUGAUCAGCCACACUGGGACUGAGACACGGCCCAGACUCCUACGGGAGGCAGCAGUGGGGAAUUUUCCGCAAUGGGCGAAAGCCUGACGGAGCAAUACCGCGUGAGGGAGGAAGGCUCUUGGGUUGUAAACCUCUUUUCUCAGGGAAUAAAAAAAUGAAGGUACCUGAGGAAUAAGCAUCGGCUAACUCCGUGCCAGCAGCCGCGGUAAUACGGAGGAUGCAAGCGUUAUCCGGAAUGAUUGAGCGUAAAGCGUCCGCAGGUGGCACUGUAAGUCUGCUGUUAAAGAGCAAGGCUCAACCUUGUAAAGGCAGUGGAAACUACAGAGCUAGAGUACGUUCGGGGCAGAGGGAAUUCCUGGUGUAGCGGUGAAAUGCGUAGAGAUCAGGAAGAACACCGGUGGCGAAAGCGCUCUGCUAGGCCGUAACUGACACUGAGGGACGAAAGCUAGGGGAGCGAAUGGGAUUAGAUACCCCAGUAGUC